This is a long non-coding RNA of Harpia harpyja (harpy eagle), 384 nucleotides long. RefSeq lists it as uncharacterized. The record is from RefSeq and is a predicted model, not a curated record. NCBI's taxonomy places the organism in Eukaryota, Metazoa, Chordata, Aves, Accipitriformes, Accipitridae. The transcript has 2 exons.
CCGUUAUGCGUGAUGGAGCCCUGCUUUCCUGGAGAUGGCUGAACGCCUGCCUGCUGAUGGGAACUUCUCAUGCCCAGGCAGCAAGAAGGCUGGAGGGGCACAAGAAGUUGGGAGGGGACACAGCCAGGGCAGCUGACCCAAACUGGCCAAUGGGGUAUUCCAUACCAUGUGAUGUCAUGUCUUGUAUAUAAACUGGGGGGAGUGGGGGUGGGGGGAUUGCCGCUCGGGGACUAACUGGGUGUUGAUCGGUGGGUGGUGAGCAAUUGCAUUGUGCAUCACUUGUAUAUUCCAAUCCUUUUAUUAUUGCUGUUGUCAUUUUAUUAGUGUUAUCAUUAUCAUUAUUAGUUUCUUCCUUUCUGUUCUAUUAAACCGUUCUUAUCUCAA